Non-coding RNA from Chinchilla lanigera (long-tailed chinchilla), 145 nucleotides. The record is from the annotation of a RefSeq genome assembly. Lineage: Eukaryota; Metazoa; Chordata; Mammalia; Rodentia; Chinchillidae.
AUCCUGCAGGCAACAUGGAGAUGCUGUGGAUCCUUCUCUGUCUAAUGGCAGCUCCCCUGGGUGCGCUGUCUGAUCCGACACUUCGGGAGUCAGGACCAAGCCUGGUGAAGCCUGGAGAGACCCUGUCCCUCACCUGCACUGUCAC